GGCUGGUUCAGAGGCAGUGACUUAUCUCAAUUUAUUGUUCACAGUUACAGAUAAAACUAUUUGUUCUACCCUUUACUCCCUUCUCACUACUGUACUUGACUAAUCAUAA
Molecule: unclassified non-coding RNA, 109 nt
Organism: Microcebus murinus (gray mouse lemur)
Lineage: Eukaryota; Metazoa; Chordata; Mammalia; Primates; Cheirogaleidae
Rfam family: Y RNA
About the family: Y RNAs are components of the Ro ribonucleoprotein particle (Ro RNP), in association with Ro60 and La proteins. The Y RNAs and Ro60 and La proteins are well conserved, but the function of the Ro RNP is not known.
Source: Ensembl